AUUGAACGCUGGCGGCAGGCCUAACACAUGCAAGUCGAGCGAGCGGCGGACGGGUGAGUAAUGUAUGGGGACUGCCCGCUAGAGGGGGAUAACUACUGGACACGGUGGCUAAUACCGCAUACUAUCGGAUAACCCAUAUGGGAUUAGCUAGUAGGUAAGGUAAUGGCUUACCUAGGCGACGAUCCCUAGCUGGUCUGAGAGGAUGAUCAGCCACACUGGGACUGAGACAAGGCCAAGACUCCUACGGAGGCAGCAGUGGGGAAGAUUGCACAAGGGGCGCAAGCCUGAGGCAGCCAUGCCGCGUGUAUGAAGAAGGCCCUAGGGUGGUAAAGUACUUUCAGUCGGGAGGCGUGACCGACAGAAGAAGCACCGGCUAACUCCGUGCCAGCAGCCGCGGUAAUAC
RNAcentral lists this ribosomal RNA (403 nucleotides) under uncultured bacterium. Its description in RNAcentral is "partial 16S ribosomal RNA". It matches the Rfam family "Bacterial small subunit ribosomal RNA", at positions 30 to 526 of the family's 1533-position model. The record is from RNAcentral.